GGGCUCAGAGAGAGAGAUGGGGAGAGAGAGAAAUUAAGAGAAAGAGGGUGAGGGAGAGAUAUGGAGAGAAACAAGGAGAGAGAGAGGGAUGAGAGAAAGAGGGAGAGAGAGGAGGAAGAGAGAGAGAAAGAGGGAGAGAUGGAGAGAAAGAGAGAAAGAGAUAUGGAGAGAGGGAGGGAGAGGAGGGAGAGAAAAAAUGAGGAAGAGGGAGAGAUAUGGAGGGAAACAGGGAGAGAGAGAGAGAGAGAGACAGGAGGAGAAUAGCUGUUGGGGUUUAGAGUGUGCUGCCAAGUCAUAUGACAUUCCAGUGGGGGGAACUAGAGGAGGGGGAACCUUGGAAGAGGAGGAGCAUGGUUCAGGGGGGAUCUUCUUUGGCAUCGCACCAGGUCUAAGGAGGGACGGGGUAACCAUAACGAUCAGUGAUGCUGCUGCUGAAGAGAACCAAUCAGAACAUCAACAAGACAGUCUAGUUUUAAUGAACAAUACAACCUGCCAUCUUUUUUAUUAUUUUAUUGACUUUUUCACGUUUCCAAUGUAUUGUAAUUGGAAGAGAAGAAAAGAUAACAAAAAGGCACAAAUUCACAGUAAAAGAAACAGAAACGAGGGAGUGAGAGGGGGAGAGAGAGAGGGGGGAAGAGAGAAAGAGAGAGAGGGAUAGAGGGAGAGAGAGAGAUAAGACAAAAACAUCAAUACUCUGGGGUUCUGAACUCAUUAUCAAUACUCUGGGGUUCUGAACUCAUUAUCAACAGUCUGGGGUUCUGGACUCAUUAUCAAUACUCUGGGGUUCUGAACUCAUUAUCAAUACUCUGGGGUUCUGGACUCAUUAUCAAUACUCUGGGGUUCUGAACUCAUUAUCAAUACUCUGGGGUUCUGGACUCAUUAUCAAUACUCUGGGGUUCUGAACUCAUUAUCAACAGUCUGGGGUUCUGGACUCAUUAUCAAUACUCUGGGGUUCUGGACUCAUUAUCAAUACUCUGGGGUUCUGAACUCAUUAUCAAUACUCUGGGGUUCUGAACUCAUUAUCAAUACUCUGGGGUUCUGGACUCAUUAUCAAUACUCUGGGGUUCUGAACUCAUUAUCAAUACUCUGGGGUUCUGGACUCAUUAUCAAUACUCUGGGGUUCUGGACUCAUUAUCAAUACUCUGGGGUUCUGGACUCAUUAUCAAUACUCUGGGGUUCUGAACUCAUUAUCAAUACUCUGGGGUUCUGGACUCAUUAUCAAUACUCUGGGGUUCUGGACUCAUUAUCAAUACUCUGGGGUUCUGGACUCAUUAUCAAUACUCUGGGGUUCUGGACUCAUUAUCAAUACUCUGGGGUUCUGAACUCAUUAUCAAUACUCUGGGGUUCUGGACUCAUUAUCAAUACUCUGGGGUUCUGAACUCAUUAUCAAUACUCUGGGGUUCUGGACUCAUUAUCAAUACUCUGGGGUUCUGGACUCAUUAUCAAUACUCUGGGGUUCUGGACUCAUUAUCAAUACUCUGGGGUUCUGAACUCAUUAUCAAUACUCUGGGGUUCUGGACUCAUUAUCAAUACUCUGGGGUUCUGAACUCAUUAUCAACAGUCUGGGGUUCUGAACUCAUUAUUUAUUAUGUUUACAAACCCAGGGAACUAACAGGAAUAUCUAUGAGGUCGUCUCUGUCAGCCAACAUCUCCCACCAGGUGAAGGGAGUCUUCUGUCCCAUAAAUACCAGAGCCCAAUCCCAAAUGGACCCCUAGACCCUACGCCCUACGCCCUAUGCACUUGUGGAGAUCUGAGAAGAUUUUACUUGUAUAGGAGGAUUUGAUUGGUUUAAGAGGAUUUGAUUGGUUUAAGAGGAUUUGAUUGGUUUAAGAGGAUUUGAUUGGUUUAAGAGGAUUUGAUUGGUUUAAGAGGAUUUGACUGGUUUAAGAGGAUUUGAUUGGUUUAAGAGGAUUUGAUUGGUUUAAGAGGAUUUGACUGGUUUAAGGAGGAUUUGAUUGGUUUAAGAGGAUUUGAUUGGUUUAAGAGGAUUUGAUUGGUUUAAGAGGAUUUGAUUGGUUUAAGAGGAUUUGAUUGGUUUAAGAGGAUUUGACUGGUUUAAGGAGGAUUUGAUUGGUUUAAGAGGAUUUGAUUGGUUUAAGAAAGAUGGUGAAACUUCCACCUAACCUGUCAAAUCCUCUCAGAUCUUCCACAUAAGGAGUAGGGUUUAGAGCAUAGGGUGUAGGGGUUUAAGGGUCCAUUUGGGACUGGGCCCUGUUAGUCCUACAGUAGGUGUUUAACAUGUUCGCCAACCACAUCAUAUGAUAUAACAAUCUGCUGCCCGACGGAGCAGUUGAUGACGUGGCACACAACCAUUGGUUGAUGUAAUGCAACGUCUGUCGAUGUGGUCAGACCAUCAUCAUUGUGUUUCGAACCAUCUCAGACCACAUCUAGGCCCUCCUCCUUAUCCUCGACUACUAGAGUUCCCUACCAAAUGGGACCCUAUUCUAUGUAUAUAGUAGACUUCCCCUUUAAGUGACAAUGUCUGGACUUUCCCUUUUAAGAGACCAGCUCUGGACUUCCCCUUUAAUGUGAGAGAUGUUAGCGGCUCAGAUUAUUGACAGAGGUACUACAACAUCCAGAACCAAAUAUAUCUAUACACCGUCCUGUCAACAAGACGUGGUCCCUGGGAGAGAAGGGAGCAGUGAAGGGAAUAGGGGGUAGGGAGUAGGGAGUAGGGGGUAGGGAGUAGGGGGUAGGGUGUAAGGAGUAGGGGCUAGGGAGUAGGGGGUAGGGGCUAGGGGGUAGGGAGUAGGGGCUAGGGAGUAGGGGGUAGGGGCUAGGGAGUAGGGGCUAGGGAGUAGGGGGUAGGGCGUAAGGAAUAGGGGCUAGGGAGUAGGGGGUAGGGGCUAGGGAGUAGGGGCUAGGGUGUAGGGGCUAGGGAGUAGGGGCUAGGGAGUAGGGGUUUGGGAGCAGUGUAGGGAGUAGGGUGUAGGGGUUAGGGGCUAGGAAGUAGGGGGUAGGGAGUAGGGUGUAGGGAGUAGGGGGUAGGGGCUAGGGUGUUGGGAGUAGGGAGUAGAGGGGAUGGGUGUGCUGUAGGUCUGGCAGGGCAGUAUAUAUAUAUAUGUGUGUGUUCAUCUACAUUAAUUUUAUUUACAUAUACAAUAUCAGUACAUACUGAAUAUCACACAGAAGACAACCAGAGAUGCUCGAUGGAUGGAGAGAUGGACGGAGGGAUGGACAGUGUUGAUGGAGGAAGAUAAGGAUAUAGAGAAAGAGAAGGAUGGAGGAGAGGAGGAGAAGGAAGAGAAAAGGAGGAGAAGAGGAAGAUGAGGAUGAGGAGGAUGAGGGGAGGAUGGAAGGAGGAGGAGGAGAAGAGCAUCUGGUGAACACUCCUCCUCCCACCGUUCUACUCCCCUCUACCUCCCCCACUCCCCUCUACCUCCCCCCCUCCCA
RNAcentral lists this long non-coding RNA (3394 nucleotides) under Salmo salar (Atlantic salmon). RNAcentral's name for it is "lncRNA (ENSSSAG00000088554.1, ENSSSAG00000117991.1)". The record is from RNAcentral. Lineage: Eukaryota; Metazoa; Chordata; Actinopteri; Salmoniformes; Salmonidae.